This is a long non-coding RNA of Oncorhynchus tshawytscha (Chinook salmon), 772 nucleotides long. The record is from Ensembl. Lineage: Eukaryota; Metazoa; Chordata; Actinopteri; Salmoniformes; Salmonidae.
CAGAAGGGCCGUGGAGAGGUGUAGAUGGUGGAGCAGAAGGGCCGUGGGGAGGUGUAGAUGGUGGAGCAGAAGGGCCGUGGGGAGGUGCAGAUGGUAGAGCAGAAGGGCCGUGGAGAGGUGCAGAUGGUGGAGCAGAAGGGCCGUGGGGAGGUGUAGAUGGUGGAGCAGAAGGGCUGUGGGGAGGUGUAGAUGGUGGAGCAGAAGGGCCGUGGGGAGGUGCAGAUGGUGGAGCAGAAGGGCCGUGGAGAGGUGCAGAUGGUGGAACAGAAGGGCUGUGGAGAGGUGCAGAUGGUGGAUCAGAAAGUCCGUGGGGAGGUGUAGAUGGUGGAGCAGAAGGGCCGUGGGGAGGUGUAGAUGGUGGAGCAGAAGGGCCGUGGAGAGGUGCAGAUGGUGGAACAGAAGGGCUGUGGAGAGGUGUAGAUGGUGGAUCAGAAAGUCCGUGGGGAGGUGUAGAUGGUGGAGCAGAAGGGCCGUGGGGAGGUGUAGAUGGUGGAACAGAAGGGCCGUGGAGAGGUGUAGAUGGUGGAUCAGAAAGUCCGUGGGGAGGUGGAGAUGGUGGAACAGAAGGGCCGUGGAGAGGUGUAGAUGGUGGAUCAGAAAGUCCGUGGGGAGGUGUAGAUGGUGGAGCAGAAGGGCCGUGGAGAGGUGUAGAUGGUGGAUCAGAAAGUCCGUGGGGAGGUGUAGAUGGUGGAGCAGAAGGGCCGUGGGGAGGUGUAGAUGGUGGAGCAGAAGGGCCGUGGGGAGGUGUAGAUGGUGGAACAGAAGGUCUGUG